Molecule: long non-coding RNA, 204 nt
Filed under: Trifolium pratense (red clover)
Lineage: Eukaryota; Viridiplantae; Streptophyta; Magnoliopsida; Fabales; Fabaceae
Description: long non-coding RNA (TPRA_LNC012426)
Source: RNAcentral
ACCGUCCCGUUUUUAUUUUCACAUAUGCUUUCACAAGUUAAUGCAAGUCGGGGCGGAGCGAUAAUUUUUGGAGGCCUAAUCACGACCAUAGCUAAAGCCAUAGGACUAGGACCUCGAUUAGAAAAUUUAGAACAUACUCCACCUCGGUUAAUCGAUGAAGAUAUGGUAAGGAGUAUGAACCUAGUAAGGUUAAGAGAAGAUGGU